This 252-nucleotide ribosomal RNA is filed under the name uncultured microorganism. RNAcentral describes it as "partial 16S ribosomal RNA". It matches the Rfam family "Bacterial small subunit ribosomal RNA", at positions 524 to 776 of the family's 1533-position model. The record is from RNAcentral.
UACGUAGGUCCCGAGCGUUGUCCGGAUUUAUUGGGCGUAAAGCGAGCGCAGGUGGUUUAAUAAGUCUGAUGUAAAAGGCAGUGGCUCAACCAUUGUGUGCAUUGGAAACUGUUAGACUUGAGUGCAGUAGAGGAGAGUGGAAUUCCAUGUGUAGCGGUGAAAUGCGUAGAUAUAUGGAGGAAGGCCGGUGGCGAAGGCGGCCUCCUGGGCCUGCACUGACGCUGAGGCGCGAAAGCGUGGGGAGCAAACAGG